UGGCUCACCGAUCGCCGACCCUCCUCCCUCCCUCUCGCGCUCGCACGCGCAGGCGGCGCUGUGCGUCGUGCCCGACGCCGCUUCCUCCUCCUUUGUUAGUCUUCUGCUCCCUCUCGACUCCUCCGUGAGCACCCUUCACUCGAUCCAUCACCGUCGGUGAAGAGAGCCACCAACCGAAUGCCACCCGACGAUGCCAUAGGAUGCAGCAGCCGUUGAUCUUUAGGCUACCCCUCCACCCUUCGAUCGAUUGAGUAGUCCCCUAGCCCUUUUGCGCGAGCGGGGAUUAGUGAUGCUACAACCCCCGCCGACACUCGGGAUCCUUCACAGCUGUGGACGCCACCUCUUCUCUCUUCACAGAGACCAUUGAUUCGGCUAUACCCAGGGAUCAAUUGGGAGGUAAAACCUUUUGUGGUAGAAGUUAUUUGAUUGGUGUUUUGAUUGAUGCUUAGAGGUGGCAGUCACUCGUCGGUUACUGAUUGAGUAUCUUCGAGGUGACUUGCUAAUAUAAUGGAGUAGGAUAUCAUAGAGAGUUAUAUUAUUAUGAUGUCUCAGUGGACGCUAUUUCGAGACGAGCACUCCGACACGGAGAUUGUUUAGCUCGAGCUACAUAUUAAAUGCGGGUAACAGGUAGAUGAGUCAUGGAUGCUUGGAGAGUCUCGGCUGCCAAUCCCACGUCACACACGAGGAUAGUUUUCUUUUUGGAUUUUGUUACUGUUCGGGUGACAUGUUAAUUUUAUAUAUUUUUCUUUUGAACAAGUCACAGUGGAUUUUUUUGGAGUUUAGUCUGGUGGUUGCAGGUAUUUUUGUUAGUGUCGUUGUUGGUCUUAUAUUCAUAUUGUUUUGUGGUGUCCGCUACGUUUACGUUGUUGUGUGUUUACUUUCAGCCGUGUAGGCUUAUUAAACUAUGUGGUUGUGUUUAUUUUGUUCCAGCCGAGUGGGCUGAUGAUAUAAACUGCGUGGUUGUGUA
This is a long non-coding RNA of Zingiber officinale, 967 nucleotides long. RefSeq lists it as uncharacterized. The record is from RefSeq and is a predicted model, not a curated record. The transcript is spliced from 4 exons. NCBI's taxonomy places the organism in Eukaryota, Viridiplantae, Streptophyta, Magnoliopsida, Zingiberales, Zingiberaceae.